RNAcentral lists this ribosomal RNA (292 nucleotides) under uncultured bacterium. Its description in RNAcentral is "partial 16S ribosomal RNA". It matches the Rfam family "Bacterial small subunit ribosomal RNA", at positions 505 to 796 of the family's 1533-position model. The record is from RNAcentral.
GUGUCAGCAGCCGCGGUAAUACGUAGGUGGCAAGCGUUGUCCGGAUUUAUUGGGUUUAAAGGGUGCGUAGGCGGUUCCUUAAGUCAGCGGUGAAAUACGACAGCUUAACUGUCGAGGUGCCAUUGAUACUGGGGAACUUGAGUACUGAUGAGGUAUGCGGAAUGGACGGUGUAGCGGUGAAAUGCUUAGAUAUCGUCCAGAACACCGAUAGCGAAGGCAGCAUACUAAGGAGUAACUGACGCUGAGGCACGAAAGUGUGGGGAUCAAACAGGAUUAGAUACCCCGGUAGUCC